RNAcentral lists this long non-coding RNA (511 nucleotides) under Homo sapiens (human). RNAcentral describes it as "novel transcript, antisense to CACNA2D2". The record is from RNAcentral. Lineage: Eukaryota; Metazoa; Chordata; Mammalia; Primates; Hominidae.
CUCAAAUCCCUACUCUCUUCUUUCACUCUCUUCCUGAUCCUCACCUGGUCCCACUGAUGGUUCUGGUUUGACAGCACCAGGAAUCCUCCAUCAUCAAUGAGGACACAGAGCUGGGUGAUGCCUACGUGUUGAGAUCCUGGUCCCUCCACACACGCUCUACCAGCUGCUGCGUGAUGCCCGUGUCCAAGAUCAGGUUGUGCAGAAGGAAGUUGUUGCCUGGAACAGGAGGGGAGGGGUGGGGGUGGGGGCAUCUUCUUGCAGCUCCUUGCCCACCCUCACCCCCACCCUUAAGGCUCCACCAGGAGCCUCCUCCAUGACCUGGCCCUGGCCCAGGCCCAGCCCUUAGCUUGUGCCUGCUUAUUUCCACACCUGCCCGGCCUCUGGGUUCCUCUGGGCUGGCCCCAUGCUGCCUGGGCACUGCCCAGAGCCAGCUGCCCUGCCAGGCACUCACACUGCUUGGAGUCUGGAGUCACUUUCUCCAUGAGCUCAAUAAAGUUUUUCAGGAACUCGG